UACGUAGGGGGCAAGCGUUGUCCGGAAUCAUUGGGCGUAAAGAGCGUGUAGGCGGUUCGGUAAGUCGGCUGUGAAAGUCCAGGGCUCAACCCUGGGAUGCCGGUCGAUACUGCCGGACUAGAGUUCGGAAGAGGCGAGUGGAAUUCCCGGUGUAGCGGUGAAAUGCGCAGAUAUCGGGAGGAACACCUAUGGCGAAGGCAGCUCGCUGGGACGUUACUGACGCUGAGAACGCGAAAGCGUGGGGAGCAAACAGG
RNAcentral lists this ribosomal RNA (254 nucleotides) under uncultured bacterium. Its description in RNAcentral is "partial 16S ribosomal RNA". It matches the Rfam family "Bacterial small subunit ribosomal RNA", at positions 524 to 776 of the family's 1533-position model. The record is from RNAcentral.